GUUGUAUGGUUAAGUGACUAAGCGUACACGGUGGAUGCCUGGGCAGUCAGAGGCGAUGAAGGACGUACUAACUUGCGAUAAGCGCAGAUAAGGCAGUAAGAGCCGUUUGAGUCUGCGAUUUCCGAAUGGGGAAACCCAACUGCAUAAGCAGUUACUGUUAACUGAAUACAUAGGUUAACAGAGCAAACCGGGGGAACUGAAACAUCUAAGUACCCCGAGGAGAAGAAAUCAACCGAGAUUCCGGUAGUAGCGGCGAGCGAACCUGGAUUAGCCCUUAAGCGCUCGGUGAAGUAGGUGAACAAGCUGGAAAGCUUGGCGAUACAGGGUGAUAGCCCCGUAACCGACGCUUCAUCGAGCGUGAAAUCGAGUAGGGCGGGACACGUGAUAUCCUGUCUGAAUAUGGGGGGACCAUCCUCCAAGGCUAAAUACUCCUGACUGACCGAUAGUGAACCAGUACCGUGAGGGAAAGGCGAAAAGAACCCCUGUGAGGGGAGUGAAAUAGAACCUGAAACCGUGUACGUACAAGCAGUAGGAGCACCUUCGUGGUGUGACUGCGUACCUUUUGUAUAAUGGGUCAGCGACUUAUAUUCAGUGGCAAGGUUAACCGUAUAGGGGAGCCGUAGCGAAAGCGAGUCUUAACUGGGCGCUCAGUCUCUGGAUAUAGACCCGAAACCGGGUGAUCUAGCCAUGGGCAGGUUGAAGGUUGAGUAACAUCAACUGGAGGACCGAACCGACUAAUGUUGAAAAAUUAGCGGAUGACUUGUGGCUAGGGGUGAAAGGCCAAUCAAACUCGGAGAUAGCUGGUUCUCCCCGAAAGCUAUUUAGGUAGCGCCUCGGACGAAUACUACUGGGGGUAGAGCACUGUUAAGGCUAGGGGGUCAUCCCGACUUACCAACCCUUUGCAAACUCCGAAUACCAGUAAGUACUAUCCGGGAGACACACGGCGGGUGCUAACGUCCGUCGUGGAGAGGGAAACAACCCAGACCGCCAGCUAAGGUCCCAAAGUAUUGCUAAGUGGGAAACGAUGUGGGAAGGCUCAGACAGCUAGGAUGUUGGCUUAGAAGCAGCCAUCAUUUAAAGAAAGCGUAAUAGCUCACUAGUCGAGUCGGCCUGCGCGGAAGAUGUAACGGGGCUAAGCAAUACACCGAAGCUGCGGCAAUAUCUUUUAGAUAUUGGGUAGGGGAGCGUUCUGUAAGCCGUUGAAGGUGAAUCGUAAGGUUUGCUGGAGGUAUCAGAAGUGCGAAUGCUGACAUGAGUAACGACAAAGGGGGUGAAAAACCUCCUCGCCGGAAGACCAAGGGUUCCUGUCCAACGUUAAUCGGGGCAGGGUGAGUCGACCCCUAAGGUGAGGCCGAAAGGCGUAAUCGAUGGGAAACGGGUUAAUAUUCCCGUACUUCUGACUAUUGCGAUGGGGGGACGGAGAAGGCUAGGUGGGCCAGGCGACGGUUGUCCUGGUUCAAGUGCGUAGGCUUGAGAGUUAGGUAAAUCCGGCUCUCUCUAAGGCUGAGACACGACGUCGAGCUGCUACGGCAGUGAAGUCAUUGAUGCCAUGCUUCCAGGAAAAGCCUCUAAGCUUCAGAUAGUCAGGAAUCGUACCCCAAACCGACACAGGUGGUCGGGUAGAGAAUACCAAGGCGCUUGAGAGAACUCGGGUGAAGGAACUAGGCAAAAUGGUACCGUAACUUCGGGAGAAGGUACGCUCUUGAUGGUGAAGUCCCUCGCGGAUGGAGCUGACGAGAGUCGCAGAUACCAGGUGGCUGCAACUGUUUAUUAAAAACACAGCACUGUGCAAAAUCGCAAGAUGACGUAUACGGUGUGACGCCUGCCCGGUGCCGGAAGGUUAAUUGAUGGGGUUAGCGCAAGCGAAGCUCUUGAUCGAAGCCCCGGUAAACGGCGGCCGUAACUAUAACGGUCCUAAGGUAGCGAAAUUCCUUGUCGGGUAAGUUCCGACCUGCACGAAUGGCGUAAUGAUGGCCACGCUGUCUCCACCCGAGACUCAGUGAAAUUGAAAUCGCUGUGAAGAUGCAGUGUACCCGCGGCUAGACGGAAAGACCCCGUGAACCUUUACUACAGCUUGGCACUGAACAUUGAACCUACAUGUGUAGGAUAGGUGGGAGGCUAUGAAGACGUGACGCCAGUUGCGUUGGAGCCGUCCUUGAAAUACCACCCUUGUAUGUUUGAUGUUCUAACUUAGACCCAUUAUCUGGGUUGAGGACAGUGCCUGG
Molecule: ribosomal RNA, 2225 nt
Filed under: Vibrio cholerae
Lineage: Bacteria; Pseudomonadati; Pseudomonadota; Gammaproteobacteria; Vibrionales; Vibrionaceae
Description: partial 23S ribosomal RNA
Rfam family: Bacterial large subunit ribosomal RNA
Source: RNAcentral